RNAcentral lists this transfer RNA (77 nucleotides) under Vibrio parahaemolyticus 97-10290. RNAcentral's name for it is "tRNA-Val". Lineage: Bacteria; Pseudomonadati; Pseudomonadota; Gammaproteobacteria; Vibrionales; Vibrionaceae. RNAcentral also lists the same sequence under 7 other names. The record is from RNAcentral.
GGGUCUGUAGCUCAGGUGGUUAGAGUACUACCUUGACAUGGUAGGGGUCGGCGAUUCGAGUUCGCCCGGACCCACCA